AUGACUGUGUUCAUCCGGCUCUCCCACCUGCUGCUAACCAUAGCUCCGUGGACUCACUACCUCAAGACACACCUGGACCACCUGAGAAUGUGGGAGGGCAUGGCAUCAGUCACCCCACUCAGCUUUUCCACCACACCUGUGCUGCUGUGUCUCAGUGACACUUUGCUCCCUCUGUUUGGUCCUGGUCAGUCUCUGCUGGACACCCAGAUGUCCUUGGCAUGUAUACCUCAAUGGAAUCCAGUUCAUCUCCAAUCUGUCAGAAGACAUCAUAGGUGGUUCGGCUCCUUAUGUCCAAAGUCUGCACAAAAAAUAUGUGUUUUGCUGAAAGCAUUGGGGGCUCAGUAUUUGGAUCUCUGUUUAUCUUCAAAAUGAGAGGUUGGACUAAAACAUCAAUAAGCCUAGGUUCAACCCUUAUAGCCCUGAAAAUCUAUGUUCAUCCAGUAAAGGAAGGUAAGAGAAAAACUGUACGUUCAGCAUUAAGAUUCACAAGCAAGAAAACAACUGCUAUAAUAAUUUUGACUAUCUUAAAGUGUCCCAAAGCAUUUAUUAAACCUAAAAUUUAAUAACUACUGGAUUACCAACAGCUAUGAUAUCCUAGAACACUUUGAAAAUUAUAUAUCUACAUCUAUACAGUAUUUAUGUAAUUUAAUAUAUAUGUAUAUACCAUUUUUAAAGUCCCUGAUCUUUCUAGUGUAUGUUCUCAAGUUUUACUGCAGUCUUAGAGCAGCUUGCUAUGAGUCAUGAGCUUAG
This 750-nucleotide long non-coding RNA is filed under the name Oryctolagus cuniculus (rabbit). RNAcentral's name for it is "lncRNA (ENSOCUG00000035626.1)". The record is from RNAcentral. Lineage: Eukaryota; Metazoa; Chordata; Mammalia; Lagomorpha; Leporidae.